This 253-nucleotide ribosomal RNA is filed under the name uncultured bacterium. RNAcentral's name for it is "partial 16S ribosomal RNA". It matches the Rfam family "Bacterial small subunit ribosomal RNA", at positions 524 to 776 of the family's 1533-position model. The record is from RNAcentral.
UACAGAGGUCUCAAGCGUUGUUCGGAUUCAUUGGGCGUAAAGGGUGCGUAGGCGGCGCGGUAAGUCGGGUGUGAAAUCUCGGAGCUUAACUCCGAAACUGCAUUCGAUACUGCCGUGCUUGAGGACUGGAGAGGAGACUGGAAUUUACGGUGUAGCGGUGAAAUGCGUAGAUAUCGUAAGGAAGACCAGUGGCGAAGGCGGGUCUCUGGACCAACACUGACGCUGAGGAGCGAAAGCCAGGGGAGCAAACGGG